Ictalurus punctatus (channel catfish) is the source of this 1426-nucleotide long non-coding RNA. The record is from Ensembl. NCBI's taxonomy places the organism in Eukaryota, Metazoa, Chordata, Actinopteri, Siluriformes, Ictaluridae.
UAUUAUUAUUAUUAUUAUUAUAUAAGUCCUUCAGGUAUUCUGAUAGCAUCUAAAUAUAACAAAGAAUAUGAAAUAUUACAUUAAAAUAGUGAGUGAAGCUUGUUUUCAGUAUUUAGUGAAUGGAAAAAAAAGACAACCAGUGUUUGUUUGCCUUGUACUCUGGCGUCAAGCCUGUGUUUUUAAAUGCCUUGGUAAUGCACUUCUGUAGAAAUAUCCAGAGUUUCUUUUAGUCUUUUUAUGAAUACUACUCUAACGGUCAUCAUUACUCUUGUGUACUCUGUGCUGCAUCAAUUCUUCGUCAAUAAUAGUGUCAAAAUUUCCAGAGGAAGGUGGAGAGGGAGCGAGAAAGUCAAAAUGCUUAGAUAAACAAAGAGUAAAGUAUGUACGGGGAUAAAACAGACUGUUAGAAGCCACGUGUUAAGUCACUGAGAGUUUUCACAGAAAUCUAAACACGAUGUAGACUGUACAUUCUGCCACACAGACCAGAAUGGGAAUUACAGAUUUCUUUAUGUGACAGCCUACAGUGAAAACAUAUUCUUGCUUCUGUAUUCUUCCUCCUUUCUUCCUCCAUCGUAGCCUCUUUCCCAUUAGUCUAAUGACACCCACAGGAGCUCACGUUUGUACACAGAGGAGAGAUGAAUCCCAAAAACACCCCAACAAAGUGAGAGCACAGUAAACAUUGAGAAAUUAAGAGCCUACAGGGUCUAGUUUCCAAAAGCAUUGUGCUUCGGAUCAGCAACUAUUGGUCAGAGUGUUUAAAGUGACGCUCAUGCACUUAAAACAUUUUAGGCAUCAAUCCGUCCCCCUCUAUGCCUAAAAUGUUCCUCACGACAAAUGACUUUCAGCCAGUGCCAAAUUCAAAAAAAUACACUGUAUAUAACAUGUAAUUCUAAGAUACAGCUUUGUCAAAUUUUAUCACAGAGAUGACUAUUACAGAAGAUUAUUAAGGCUAUUGAAGAUCAGCUUAGAGUUUGCUGACUCUCUGAAAAAAAAAAAGCUUUAUUUGCCCCUUGUGCUUGGGACAAAAUCAGUUGGGUGGGAAAGAAAGAAAGUACUGGGAAUUCUAUUUUUGUUAUUUUAUCAUUGGAAAGACAUAUAUAAAAAUUCUGAAUAUUAUGAACCUCCCUCUCCAGCAGUAAGGAUAUGUAGCUGUGAGCUCCUCAAGCAGCUAUGUCUUGCCUAUGUGCUACAAAAAAGUUACAUAAAUAAAUUAUUUUUCUUGCUUAAACACUCUUUUGGAGUCUUCAUUUUUAGUUAAUGGUAUUUAGAGACAGAAAGACAAUGGUAUUAUGAUGCAGGUUAUUUAUCAAUUAUUCAAAUAGUUCUGAUAUGUUUUAUUCAAUGUAAGGUUUGUAUUAUAGUAAAAAAAAAAAGAAGUUCUUUUACUGAGUUUGACAUGAGUAUCAGAUUAAAACUGUAUUCAGAA